UACAGAGGGGGCAAGCGUUAUUCGGAAUUAUUGGGCGUAAAGCGUACGUAGGCGGCUUUUCAAGUCAGAAGUGAAAACCUGGGGCUCAACCCCAGACCUGCUUUUGAGACUGUAAGGCUAGAGUUUGGAAGAGGACAGUGGAAUUCCGAGUGUAGAGGUGAAAUUCGUAGAUAUUCGGAGGAACACCAGUGGCGAAAGCGACUGUCUGGUACAUAACUGACGCUGAAGUACGAAAGCGUGGGGAGCAAACAGG
Molecule: ribosomal RNA, 253 nt
Filed under: uncultured bacterium
Lineage: Bacteria
Description: partial 16S ribosomal RNA
Rfam family: Bacterial small subunit ribosomal RNA
Source: RNAcentral